Non-coding RNA from Arachis ipaensis, 409 nucleotides. Lineage: Eukaryota; Viridiplantae; Streptophyta; Magnoliopsida; Fabales; Fabaceae. The record is from RefSeq and is a predicted model, not a curated record.
CUAAACUUGGGUCAGGGUCCUUGCUAAUUUCUGAAUUCUGCAUUAUUUACAAACAGCAGUUUCUUUCUGUGUUGAAGUCUUGAAGAGGUCUCUCUCUCUCUCUCUCUCUCUCUCUCUCUCUCUCAUUGCACAGUAGUUGAUUAUUAGAAGACUAAUUUGUGUAUUCGCUCAGAAAUUUUUGGUCUAAUCUCUUCAACUUUUUGCUUGGAGAUCAGGGGAUAGGCAGAGGAUAAGGACUAAAAAUUGGAGACAGCCAUAUCCUGAGUCACUGUCUUAACUUGUUUAAACAAUUGACUAGAGUCUCUCACUCAUUCUCCAACCGGAUCUACAACACAUUUCACUGUGUGGUGUGCAGCCACGCACAGAAAUCAUUGCUGGGUUGCUCAGAAAUAAAUAUCAGAUAAUAAAG